CUACGGGUUGCUGCAGUAAGGAAUAUUGGGCAAUGGACGCAAGUCUGACCCAGCCAUGCCGCGUGCAGGAUGACAGCCCUACGGGUUGUAAACUGCUUUUAUACGGGAAAAAACCCCUGCACGAGUUGCGGGGUUGAUGGUACCGUAAGAAUAAGCAUCGGCUAACUCCGUGCCAGCAGCCGCGGUAAUACGGAGGAUGCAAGCGUUAUCCGGAUUCAUUGGGUUUAAAGGGUGCGUAGGCGGAAUGAUAAGUCAGUGGUGAAAUCCUACAGCUUAACUGUAGAACUGCCAUUGAUACUGUUGUUCUUGAGUACAUUUGAAGUGGGCGGAAUGUGUCAUGUAGCGGUGAAAUGCAUAGAGAUGACACAGAACACCGAUCGCGAAGGCAGCUCACUAAACUGUAACUGACGCUGAGGCACGAAAGCGUGGGGAUCAAACAGGAUUAGAUACCCCCGUAGUC
This 460-nucleotide ribosomal RNA is filed under the name uncultured bacterium. Its description in RNAcentral is "partial 16S ribosomal RNA". It matches the Rfam family "Bacterial small subunit ribosomal RNA", at positions 339 to 795 of the family's 1533-position model. The record is from RNAcentral.